This is a non-coding RNA of Parelaphostrongylus tenuis, 73 nucleotides long. The record is from the annotation of a GenBank genome assembly. Lineage: Eukaryota; Metazoa; Nematoda; Chromadorea; Rhabditida; Metastrongylidae.
ACCUCUGUGGUGUAGUGGUAGAGCACACGCUCCCGUUAUGGAUGAAACGCGGGUUUGACUCGCGCCCGAGGUC